Molecule: long non-coding RNA, 3237 nt
Organism: Ictalurus furcatus (blue catfish)
Lineage: Eukaryota; Metazoa; Chordata; Actinopteri; Siluriformes; Ictaluridae
Exons: 4
Source: RefSeq, a predicted model, not a curated record
CACUGCCUGCCUGUUACUUUAGCCCAAAGAAGAGCACAUUUCAUGUUGCCUUACAGGAUCGAAUGUCUUGGGUAAUGUAGUUUGUAUUUAAUAUUGAUCCUCCCAGAUUUUAGAUAGAUAGGUUUAACUUUAAUGUGAUAACAUUUUUAAAUAUCGCAACUUGAUGUGAUCAGAAAAAGUUCAUGUUCACGCUUACUCAGAAAGGGCACGUUUAUGAUUAUGUUCUGUUCCAGGAAUUAAUCUUCUUAUCAAAUCACACAUCAAGGUUAUUCAGCUCAAAUGUGUAUGUGUGGGUGUGCGUGCGUGUGUGAUUAUGUGUAUGUACUUGUCUUGGAGUUCAUAAAUCUUAAAAAAAAAAAAAAAGGACGGGAAGAUCUGUGAAUAUUUGAGCAAUGGACAUUUGUUGUGUUUACUACCUUCACCUCAGUGUGGUCAGUGUCAGCAUGUCCGUGUGUCUUUAUUACUGAUUCACAGCACAAGUGCUAUGAGAAAGAGAGAGAGAGAGAGAGAGAGAGAGAGAGAGCACGAGAGAGAGAGAGAGAGACAGCGAGAGAGAGAGAGAGAGAGAGAGAGAGAGAGAGAGAGAGAGAGAUGUCAAACUGCUUGGCUCAGCAUUGGUUGCCAUGCCAACUGAAACAACAAAUAUUUAGAGCAAUGUAACACUUUCUAUUGAAAUUCCAGUUCCAGGUUCCAAUCAUCUGGAAAGUUCUCUUGUUGUCAAACUCCUUCCUAUUUUUUUUCUUCUUGUCACUAGAAUGGUGUCUUUGUCCAGUAGAAGUGAACUUGAAAAUAUUGCCGAGGUGUGCAGUGUUUUCACUCAACACACACUCACAUUCAAGUGGUUUCUCUCUCUCUCUCUCUCUCUCUCUCUCUCUCUCUCUCUCUCUCUCUCUCUCUCUCUGUCUCUUACAGUUUCUCUUUUACUGUUUCAACUAGGGCUCUGUGUGUGUGUGUGUAGUUUGGAUGGGCAGUUUGAUUAGAAAGGGCAGUUUGACUUGAUUAUAAAGUGCAGCUCUGUCUCAACACCAUUGCAGUUGCACUGCUGACACACUCUCUCCUCACGUAGGAGCAAUGAUUUCUUAUAGCUGCUGUCUCCAUGGCAGUCUGUUCACACUUAGUCUGGCAGUGUGGUUCUGUGUUUUUGGUCAGUCUGUGUUCAGGUAAACUGCCAUGGUGUAUUGUUGAUUUAGGGCCACUGCAUGAAGUGAUGAGAUAGAGUGUAUUAGUGAACUGAGGUUCAGGACCAGCUGGGUGAAGGGACUCUUAUCUCUUAGGUAAAGGUACAAACAUUCACUGAUGCUCAAGAAGGCAACAUGCUACUUUAAGAGCCAGGGGGGUGGAAACUUUGGAACAGGAUGAUCGGUGUAAAUUGUUAUUAUUUUGUCUUCUGGGAAACAUGUAACUAUCUUAUGUAGCUUCUGAAGGCAGUACUAAUGAAAAUAAAGAUCUUUAAACAAAAUAAUUUAUACCAAUCAUCCAGUUCAAAAGUUUACACGCCCUGGCUCUUAAUGUAUCAUGUUGACUUAUUGAGCAUCAGAGAAUGUUUGCACCUUUUGUAAUAGUCGUGUACGAGUCCCCCGUUGUCCUCAGUGUGAAAAGAUGAAUCUCAGCAUCAUAUAGUCGCUGUUGGAAAGGGAACAAAUAUGCAGAAAAUGCUGGAAAAGUAAAGAAUGUGCAGGACCUGGAGGAUUUUUCUGAAGAACAGUGAGCAGUUUAACUGCUCAGGACAAACAAGGGACUCAUGAACAACUAUCACAACACAUCAAAACAUCAUGUCGUUGAUCAUCCAGGUCUGUGUGGCAUUGAGAGGAUGAUGUGCUAACAUGAUUGACAGCAGUGUUGGGAAUUGGUCUAAAUCUUGGCCUCAAAAAUUAACAACUAAGUUGUAGUUGUUUACUCUUCCCAUAGUACAGCACCUAGAGAUGACCUGCUAUGUGAACCGCCAGGUCUCCAGGACACAUAGCCAGUGGAUCAGGACCUUAUUAUUAUUAUUAUUAUUAUUAUUAUUAUUAUUAUUUUAUGGUGUUAUGGCGGUGAUCACAAGUUAUUAUAGCUUAUAUACAGUUAUUUUAGCUACUAUAAACCUAAUUUACUGGUCACUUAAGUGAAUGCUUAAUAACUGUCAACUCAAAUGUAACUAAUAUAGGGAAUGGUGCUGUUAUGAGAUCCAAAAAUUUUCAUAUUUUAAUGAGCUCCUGGUCUACAUAUAUCUGUUUUGUUUAGGAAGGUUCUGAUGAGGAAAACAGUUGAUAUAGAGAUGGACUUUUCUAGUCCUUGGAUCUUAGAUGGGGUUCAUGUUCAAGUACAGGGAGGGACUAGCACCAAGGGUUCUGUAGUUCUCUGAAGCACAUUGAAUACUGACCUUGACAGAUGCUAUCUGAGGAGCUGCAGCACAGGGAGGUUGUGUGCUUGAGAAGAUAGGAUACUGAACGGUGAUGACAGAGUCCAGUCCCAAAGACCAGGCCCUUCAGAUGAUGUCAGCAAAAUAAAAUCAACCUCAACAAUCAACAAGCGCUUACACUGAAAUGAACCUGAACAUAAUAUAAACUUUUAUACAAGUAGCGACUGUGAUUGUGUGGGCACGUGGACUUUUUCUGGAAACUUUGCUCAAGAAAUCAGAUGUCUUGCUUCGGUUUAACCUAAGCAAUCACAAGUCAAAGGGGAGUGUUUACUACUAAUACUAGCAAAAAUAAAGGAAUAUAAUUAAGUUAGAGAAAGACAAAAGUGGACUAUUUUACAGGGACUGAAAUGAAUGAAAGCGGGAGCGUGGUGGUGAUCUACAGUCACAUACUGUAUAAUGCUGCCAAAUCCAUUUUCUCAUAACCUUUGGCACAUUUUAUCUCUGUAAUUUAGAGUAUGAUAGAGGUUGUGUGUUCUAAUAGGUGUGUGCGUGUGUGUGUGUGUGUGUGUGUGUGUGUGUGUGCAGCAUUUGCUAUUAAUGAAUACAUGUGAGGAAUGUUCCCCUUAAGUUUAUCAUUAAUCAUUGUUAGCACAAUGUCACAGAGGACAAUUUCAGCAUAAGCCAAAUUGUGUAUGUAUAUGUGUGUGUGUGUGUGUGUGUGUGUGUGUGUGUGUGUGUGUGUGUGUUCAUACCACACAGGUUGGUAUUUCACUCCAUUCAGUCCAAGGUGAGUUUCGGGUGAAUUUUUUUCCCCUCUUCUGUUUCUCCUUUCUGAACCAGUUGAACUACAGUCUCGCACAAAUACACACUCGUUCAAACACACCAUCUCUCUUGUG